CCUACGGGUGGCAGCAGUGGGGAAUAUUGGACAAUGGGCGAAAGCCUGAUCCAGCCAUGCCGCGUGUGUGAAGAAGGCCUUCGGGUUGUAAAGCACUUUCAGUGGGGAAGAAAGCCUUGGGGCUAAUACCCUCGAGGAAGGACAUCACCCACAGAAGAAGCACCGGCUAACUCCGUGCCAGCAGCCGCGGUAAUACGGAGGGUGCGAGCGUUAAUCGGAAUUACUGGGCGUAAAGCGCGCGUAGGCGGUCUGAUGAGCCGGUUGUGAAAGCCCCGGGCUCAACCUGGGAACGGCAUCCGGAACUGCAGGGCUAGGGUGAAGGAGGGAAAGUUAGAAUUCCCGGGGUGGGGGGAAAAGGGUAGGAGUUGGGGAGGAAUCCAGUGGCGAAGGCGGCCUUCUGGACUGACACUGACGCUGAGGUGCGAAAGCGUGGGUAGCAAACAGGAUUAGAUACCCUGGUAGUC
This 464-nucleotide ribosomal RNA is filed under the name Vreelandella stevensii. RNAcentral describes it as "partial 16S ribosomal RNA". It matches the Rfam family "Bacterial small subunit ribosomal RNA", at positions 338 to 795 of the family's 1533-position model. Lineage: Bacteria; Pseudomonadati; Pseudomonadota; Gammaproteobacteria; Oceanospirillales; Halomonadaceae. The record is from RNAcentral.